CAAUAGCGUAUAUUAAAGUUGUUGCAGUUAAAAAGCUCGUAGUUGAAUUUCUGGGCGGCCCGCCGGUCUUCCAUGUGUUGUACUGGGCGGCGCCGGCCAUCCUUGUGGAGAGGGCUCGCAUUUGGUUGCGUGUCGGAUCUGCAUCAUUUACUGUGAAAAAAUUAGAGUGUUUAAAGCAGGCUGUCGCUUGAAUACAUUAGCAUGGAAUAAUAAGAUAGGACUUCGGUCUAUUUUGUUGGUUGCGAACCGAGGUAAUGAUUAAUAGGGAUAGUUGGGGGUAUUCGUAUUUAAUUGUCAGAGGUGAAAUUCUUGGAUUUAUGAAAGAUGAACAACUGCGAAAGCAUUUACCAAGGAUGUUUUCAUUAA
This 366-nucleotide ribosomal RNA is filed under the name uncultured eukaryote. Its description in RNAcentral is "partial 18S ribosomal RNA". It matches the Rfam family "Eukaryotic small subunit ribosomal RNA", at positions 592 to 976 of the family's 1831-position model. The record is from RNAcentral.